This 107-nucleotide small nucleolar RNA is filed under the name Jatropha curcas. Its description in RNAcentral is "Plant small nucleolar RNA R71". It matches the Rfam family "Plant small nucleolar RNA R71". Rfam says of the family: R71 is a member of the C/D box family of snoRNAs containing the C (UGAUGA) and D (CUGA) box motifs. Multiple nearly identical copies of this snoRNA have been identified in Arabidopsis, and it is thought to function as a 2'-O-ribose methylation guide for 18S ribosomal RNA. The record is from Rfam by way of RNAcentral. Lineage: Eukaryota; Viridiplantae; Streptophyta; Magnoliopsida; Malpighiales; Euphorbiaceae.
AGGCCAUGGUGUGGGCAAACUCGUUGGAGUUCUUUAUAGCGAUCCCAUGCCUCAUAUAGGGAUUCAUUUUCAUGCUGAGUAAAUGAGGUUAUUUCUUUGAUAAGCCU